CUGUUCCGCCCCCCCCCCCAACUUUUCUCCCGGGCCGACGGAGCUGAAGGGGCGGGGGUUUCUUCCUUGGAGUGUUUCUAGAGCUCGGAGGCUGCUAGUAGGGGGGCACCACUUUAAGAUAAAAACAUAGACCUGAAUGGCAUCAUCCAGUAUCCAAGGAAACCAUUGUGUCUGUAACCAGCUAAUGAGCUGCAACAGAGCCUGGCCUUCAUUUUCAGCAAAUUAAGUUCAUCCCUCAUAGGAAUUGUGGUCUGGCUGUGGCACCGCUCCUAGACAUGACAAACUCCAAAAGGAAACCCAAGCAGCUAUUUGGCUCCCUUAAUUAAUGAAGUCACCCAGUAUGGAUAAUUCAGGUUCUCUAAACAUGAGUAUGCCUUUGGGGGAA
RNAcentral lists this non-coding RNA (385 nucleotides) under Pongo abelii (Sumatran orangutan). The record is from RNAcentral. Lineage: Eukaryota; Metazoa; Chordata; Mammalia; Primates; Hominidae.